Molecule: long non-coding RNA, 2504 nt
Organism: Pyrus x bretschneideri (Chinese white pear)
Lineage: Eukaryota; Viridiplantae; Streptophyta; Magnoliopsida; Rosales; Rosaceae
Exons: 2
Source: RefSeq, a predicted model, not a curated record
CUGAUUUAAAUUAAGAAAUUGAAUUACAUUUUUUAACCUCUUUUGUGAUCAUUUACUGAGAAUUUGUUAAUUGUUUUAAUAUAUAUGAGGUAGGAUUUCUACGUUCAUUUCUCAUCUUUAGAGAUUGCUGAAUUUCUACAUUCAUUUCUCAUCUUUAAAGAUUGUUGGAUUUCAUAUUGUCAAAUAGUUUAUGGAUUUUCAUAUUAAGCGCGUCAAUAUGUUAUUGUAGUAAUUCAAUUAGAUGUGAUAAAGUUGAUGUCUUUAUACCUUUAAACAGAAUUUUUUCACAUAAUUUCUAAUCCCGCAGCAACGCACGGGCAAAACUUUCUAGUCCUAUCUAUACUAAAACCCGGUGGGAAAACCACUGUUCAUUAACAAUGUGCUGACUCCCGCCCCUCGAUUUCUUCAUGUUUUUGGGCCUUCUUAGGGAUUCUCCACUGAAUUGGCGGUUUUACCCUUUUCCUCAUUUUUGUUGCCGCGUGCCUCUGGAGGUGGAAACACGUUUUUCAUUUUCUUGGUUGGGGUUUGGUUUCCUGACGAUGAGCAUGUGUCGAUCAUCGCAUCGACUGUGCCUUUUCCCAUUUUCUCUCUUACUAUUGUUGCUUUCUUUCACUUUCACUUCAGUUUGGAGCUUUGCCUUAAGGCGGGCUGUGUGUUUUGUUGCUUUUAAAUUUGGUUAGUCAAUUUUCUUUGUCAUUUAUUCUGUUUUUGUUAUGCUUUUCGUUUUCGUUUGGACCUUUAGUUUUUCUUUUCGGUUUCUGGUGUUGCAGGAGUGUGGUUUCAGUGAUGGGUUUUCGGGAUGUUUGAUUUUAUUUUUUGUUAGUCUUUCAGCAGGCUGUGACUCUGUGUUUUUGGAGAUUUGAAUAAUUCUGUUUUGUUUUUACUUUUUGUUAGUCUUUCAACAAUUUUGUGGUCCGGAUUUGAACGGCUCUGUGGUCGCGAUUUCCUGUUGCGGCGAUUGAGUUUUUUCUUAGGUAUUAGUUUGUUUUGGUGGCCACAGUUUAUCGAGUGAUGUGGGUGUUGUAUUUGGGUUUUUUGAGUUGUCUUUUGAUUGUUUUGGGCGAUUUGUUGCUUAAUUAUUUUGUUGUCAAGCGUUUCUACAUCGUUCAGUUGCUCUGUAAACAUUUAAGAUUGAUUUUAUUCUUGAAAGCUUAUAGCUUUUGUUGGCUAACAUAAAACCAGGUUUUGAUUGUUUUUGAUUAUUUGGAUAGUGUUCUUUUUAAAACUGAAAUGGCCAUGUGAUUUCUUCUUUCGAUUAUUUUCCCUUUUGAUUAUUUUAGGCGAUCUGUUGCCUGAUUAUUUUGCCACUAAGCACUUCUGCGUGGUUGAGUUGCUCUCUGUAAAGAUUUAAAAUUAGUUUUUCUCUUCAAAGUUUACAGCUUUUGUUGCUUGAUAUAAAAUUAGGUUUUGAUUGUUUUGGAGCAUUUUGAUAAUCUAUGCCGGUGUUGUGUUUCUUUUGGACAAUAAUUUUUUGUGGCAUUAUUGAAAGUUUAUCAGGUGAUGUGUUUGUUUAAAUUGGAUGAGUGCGGUUUUGUGUGUAUUAGUUAUUAAUUUCAAAUGUCGGUAUUAUAUGAAAGAUUAUGUAGUUUUAAUCUUGAUGAAUGGUGUUUGAGAAUGGAAUUGGCCAUAAUAAAUGGUGAUGUGGUUCAUGUAUUGUUGGUGGUAUUCAAGUGAUCUCUUUUUUUUCCUUGAUUUAUCAUUUUUGGUGUUUUAAUUGAAUUGACUAUUCUUUUGCGUUUUUGUUUAACAAUUUAUUCAAUUAUUUCAUUUCUUUUUUAGCUUAUAUUCUGUUUCGAUUAGAUGAUGUUCAGGUUUCUUGAGCUUUCUGUCUAGACUAUUUGUGAAUUUACAGACCUCGGAUUUCAUUUGAGUAGUUUAAAUGGUAGAUCAAGGUCCAACUCCUAUUAAUCAAUUGGUGACGUAUGAAAGAAUUGUGAAAAUUAUAGUCCGUAUUUGCAGAAUAUGGUGGUCGAGAUUUCUAGGCAUGACUUAUAAAUAUACAGGGCUUCACUGUAUAUUGGUUGAUGAAAGGCAAUAAGCAAUUGAGGCGUCUUCUGAUGAGAUGGACUAUGAAAUAAUAUUGCCAAAAAUUGAAGCAAGUAUUUGCUACGAAAUUAUGAAUUUUCACACCAACAAAAUGAAGGGUCAGUAUCGAGUGGUGACACAUAACACUCACGUUGUAUUUACUGCUAAAACAAUUUUUAACAAGUUGACAAGUGUCUUUCCGCCCAUAGAUUCUUUUUGCUAGACUAUAAUAGGUUGUAUCCUCGGCUGGAGAAGCUUGAUGUCCUUACAAGUGAUAAUAUGUAUAUACAUAUGUGUGUGUGUGUGUGUGUGUCUUAGAAUGCGUUAAUGUUUGUUUUAUGAAACAUUUUGUCGUGACAGUUAUCUUUUGUUCUUUUUCUUUCUUUUUUUUUUCCUUCAAAUUUUGAAAUGUUAUUGGUCAGGUGGUUGGAGUCCAGCGUUUGGAGCCCAUACAAGUCAAUCAGAGAAUUGAUCACAAA